AUACCUUUCUCGAUCUUUUGUCUAAGAUAAAGUGUAGUAUUUGUUCUUAUCAGUUUUAUAUCUGAUAUGCAGAUCAUGUGUUCGCUUUAAUAUUAAAUUUAUUUUUGAUGGGUAUCAAAUAUGAUUGGAACCAUUACACCACAGAUGGGUCGUGAGAAACCACU
This 164-nucleotide small nuclear RNA is filed under the name Zea mays. RNAcentral describes it as "U2 spliceosomal RNA". It matches the Rfam family "U2 spliceosomal RNA". Rfam says of the family: U2 is a small nuclear RNA (snRNA) component of the spliceosome (involved in pre-mRNA splicing). Complementary binding between U2 snRNA (in an area lying towards the 5' end but 3' to hairpin I) and the branchpoint sequence (BPS) of the intron results the bulging out of an unpaired adenosine, on the BPS, which initiates a nucleophilic attack at the intronic 5' splice site, thus starting the first of two transesterification reactions that mediate splicing. Lineage: Eukaryota; Viridiplantae; Streptophyta; Magnoliopsida; Poales; Poaceae. The record is from Rfam by way of RNAcentral.